UACGGAAGGCAGCAGUGGGGAAUAUUGGACAAUGGGCGAAAGCCUGAUCCAGCCAUGCCGCAUGAGUGAAGAAGGCCUUCGGGUUGUAAAGCUCUUUUAGUGAGAAAGAUAAUGACGGUACUCACAGAAGAAGUCCUGGCUAACUCCGUGCCAGCAGCCGCGGUAAUACGGAGAGGGCUAGCGUUAUUCGGAAUUAUUGGGCGUAAAGAGCACGUAGGUGGUUUUUUAAAGUCAGAUGUGAAAUCCCUGGGCUUAACCUAGGAACUGCAUUUUGAAACUGAAAUACUAGAGUAUCGUAGAGGGAGGUAGAAUUCUAGGUGUAGCGGUGAAAUGCGUAGAUAUCUGGAGGAAUACCUGUGGCGAAAGCGGCCUCCUAAACGAAUACUGACACUGAGGGUGCGAAAGCGUGGGGAGCAAACAGGGAUUAGAUACC
This 433-nucleotide ribosomal RNA is filed under the name uncultured bacterium. RNAcentral describes it as "bacterial SSU rRNA". It matches the Rfam family "Bacterial small subunit ribosomal RNA", at positions 340 to 786 of the family's 1533-position model. The record is from RNAcentral.